GACGAACGCUGGCAGCGUGCUUAACACAUGCAAGUCGAACGGUAAGGCCCUUCGGGGUACACGAGUGGCGAACGGGUGAGUAACACGUGGGUGAUCUGCCCUGCACUUCGGGAUAAGCCUGGGAAACUGGGUCUAAUACCGGAUAGGACUCCGGACUGCAUGGUCUGGGGUGGAAGGCUUUUGCGGUGUGGGAUGGGCCCGCGGCCUAUUAGCUUGUUGGUGGGGUGAUGGCCUACCAAGGCGACGACGGGUAGCCGGCCUGAGAGGGUGACCGGCCACACGAGGACUGAGAUACGGCCCAGACUCCUACGGGAGGCAGCAGUGGGGAAUAGUGCACAAUGGGCGCAAGCCUGAUGCGUCGACGCCGCGUGAGGGAUGACGGCCUUCGGGCUGUAAACCUCUUUCAGCAUCGACGAAGCGAAAGUGACGGUAGGUGCAGAAGAAGGACCGGCCAACUACGUGCCAGCAGCCGCAGUAA
Molecule: ribosomal RNA, 478 nt
Filed under: uncultured bacterium
Lineage: Bacteria
Description: partial 16S ribosomal RNA
Rfam family: Bacterial small subunit ribosomal RNA
Source: RNAcentral